This is a long non-coding RNA of Hirundo rustica (Barn swallow), 1057 nucleotides long. RefSeq lists it as uncharacterized. The record is from RefSeq and is a predicted model, not a curated record. Lineage: Eukaryota; Metazoa; Chordata; Aves; Passeriformes; Hirundinidae. The transcript has 3 exons.
GCCUCCAUUUAGCUCAGCUGCUUGGAGGAAAAACAGCCUUCCAGGAUGAGCUAUCUCCUCUGUAGGGUGCUGCCCUGCUCUUUGGAUGAGACUUCUGCUCCAGUCUCUAAGGUCUGAGUCUUGUGCAAUAUUUAAGAAAAUGGAUUUCUGCAGCUUUAAUAUUUUCUUACUGGGAGGAAACAAAAGGCAAAUAAUGUGAUUGUUUGUCAAGGAGCAAAACCUUCCCUCACAAAAUGUUUAUAGAACGUGAGAUGUUGUUGGGAGAUGAUACACCUAGUUCUGAGAAGUGCUGAAUACAAUCCAUGAACUUCUAACCAGACCUGACCAGCCAAGAUUCUACCUCUUCCCAACACUUUUGUUUGACAUUUGCCCAGAAAUAGGGUUCUGUUACAAUGAAAUGAAAAUAUGUUUGUUGGACAAGAAGAGGAUGUUAGGGUGGUUUUUUUGCCACAAACUUUUGAUGUGCAUGUAUUCUGGAGGGGGUGAGGAAAUGAAUAGAGCCUUGGAUUUUUCUGGUGUGUGUUUGUCUUCCAACAGUUUUAUUUCCAGAAGUUAAUUUUCCCGUAUUUUUCAGGAUAAUGUGAAGCAGAUAAGCUCAUGCAUAGUGUAAGAAAAUGAAAGUAAUUCCAAAAUAUCUGGCAGAGACAUUUUAAUCCUAAUUAAAACUGAAGGAGGAAAGAGACAAAAUUAAAUGUAUUUUAUAGUCCUGACUUAUGCCCCAUCAAAGAGAUUUUUUUUUUUCCAUUCUAGGAUGUCCCUGCAUAAUUUCUAAUCAGCCUUUCAGCCUUCACCAUGAGUGACAGAGCAAGGAGGAGAAUGUCUGCCAGUGUCUUGGGAGAAUUUAUUUAAGGUUCUCCUGAGCUGUGGAAGGGAUUUGUCAUUGUCAAUAUCAGCAAUGCAGCUGAUCAGCACCCUGGUCAGUCUUGUCAUCAGAAGAGGAAAUAGAGUACGUGUAUGUGACAGAUAAAGAGAGAGUGAGAGAGAAUUUGCUUCACAGAAAAAUAAUAUUCAUUCUAGCCAUUUGUGUCUGUGUGUAUUCUAGCUGUUUUUACACUAA